Molecule: long non-coding RNA, 410 nt
Organism: Daucus carota subsp. sativus
Lineage: Eukaryota; Viridiplantae; Streptophyta; Magnoliopsida; Apiales; Apiaceae
Exons: 3
Source: RefSeq, a predicted model, not a curated record
GUUGGAAUUAACUUGAUUUUCGUCGAUGGGUUGGGAGGACGGAUUCAGGCAUAUAUUCCUCGACAAAUCAGGCACCAGUUCGAGGAUCAUAUUAUUGAAGGAGAAACCUAUGAUGUGAAUAAUUUUGUUGUUAGGAGAUAUUCGGACAUGCAAUUUGGAAGAUGCUUCGCAAGUGAUAUCUAUAUCCAGUUGAAUCAUAUGACUGAGGUUUUGUUGACCGGAGAUGUGGAUUAUAUCCCGCCUCAUGUCUUUCAAUUCACUGAUUUGUCAGCUUUAAUGGAAGCUGCAAGCGAAAACAAAUUUCUGAUCGAUGUUGUUGGAAUAUUGGAGCACCAUGACCCAAUCAGUACCUUCAGAAACAGAUAUAACCAGCAAAAAUCCUGUUUUCGUUUUACCAUCAAUGAUAUGCA